RNAcentral lists this transfer RNA (70 nucleotides) under Podarcis lilfordi (Lilford's wall lizard). RNAcentral's name for it is "tRNA.Ala". The stretch from base 6 to 62 matches the Rfam family "tRNA", at positions 8 to 63 of the family's 71-position model. From Rfam's summary of the family: Transfer RNA (tRNA) molecules are approximately 80 nucleotides in length. Their secondary structure includes four short double-helical elements and three loops (D, anti-codon, and T loops). Lineage: Eukaryota; Metazoa; Chordata; Lepidosauria; Squamata; Lacertidae. The record is from RNAcentral.
GGCCAUAGCUCAGUGGUAGAGCAACUGCUUUGCAUGCAGAAGGUCCUUGGUUCAAUUCCUGGCAUCUUCA